GAGAUUGACCCAGAUCAGCUUUACAGCAAGUAAGCUUACCCAUUAAGGAGUUCCAAUUCUUUUGGGUAUUUGUUUUGGUUUUUGAGUGGUUUGGAAUUGGGUAUGACCAAGUUGAGGAUUUGAGUUGACUUUUGUGUUCUCGAGGGUAUCCAACUGGUGAUUUGGUGGCGUUCCUAUUGGUGUUUGUAGCUAGUGGCUGUUACAGAUUUUAUAUAUUUUCC
This 221-nucleotide unclassified non-coding RNA is filed under the name Hevea brasiliensis (rubber tree). Lineage: Eukaryota; Viridiplantae; Streptophyta; Magnoliopsida; Malpighiales; Euphorbiaceae. The record is from RNAcentral.